AACGAACGCUGGCGGCAGGCUUAACACAUGCAAGUCGAACGCCCGUAGCAAUACGGGAGUGGCGGACGGGUGAGUAACGCGUGGGAACGUACCCUGAGGUACGGAAUAACCGAGGGAAACUUCGGCUAAUACCGUAUGAGCCCCGCAAGGGGGAAAGAUUUAUCGCCUUGGGAGCGGCCCGCGUCGGAUUAGCUAGUUGGUGGGGUAACGGCCUACCAAGGCUUCGAUCCGUAGCUGGUCUGAGAGGACGAUCAGCCACACUGGGACUGAGACACGGCCCAGACUCCUACGGGAGGCAGCAGUGGGGAAUCUUGCGCAAUGGGGGCAACCCUGACGCAGCCAUGCCGCGUGAACGAUGAAGGCCUUAGGGUUGUAAAGUUCUUUUACCCGUGACGAUGAUGACGGUAACGGGGGAAUAAGCUCCGGCUAACUUCGUGCUAGCAGCCGCGGUAAUGCACGACUGU
Molecule: ribosomal RNA, 464 nt
Filed under: uncultured bacterium
Lineage: Bacteria
Description: bacterial SSU rRNA
Rfam family: Bacterial small subunit ribosomal RNA
Source: RNAcentral